GCGCCUGUAGCUCAGCCGGAUAGAGCAACUGGCUUCGAACCAGUAGGCCGCAGGUUCGAAUCCUGCCGGGCGCGCCA
RNAcentral lists this transfer RNA (77 nucleotides) under Candidatus Omnitrophota bacterium. Its description in RNAcentral is "Candidatus Omnitrophica bacterium tRNA-Arg". It matches the Rfam family "tRNA". Rfam says of the family: Transfer RNA (tRNA) molecules are approximately 80 nucleotides in length. Their secondary structure includes four short double-helical elements and three loops (D, anti-codon, and T loops). Further hydrogen bonds mediate the characteristic L-shaped molecular structure. tRNAs have two regions of fundamental functional importance: the anti-codon, which is responsible for specific mRNA codon recognition, and the 3' end, to which the tRNAs corresponding amino acid is attached (by aminoacyl-tRNA synthetases). tRNAs cope with the degeneracy of the genetic code in two manners: having more than one tRNA (with a specific anti-codon) for a particular amino acid; and 'wobble' base-pairing, i.e. permitting non-standard base-pairing at the 3rd anti-codon position. Lineage: Bacteria; Pseudomonadati; Candidatus Omnitrophota. The record is from RNAcentral.